UGGGGGAUAUUGCACAAUGGGCGAAAGCCUGAUGCAGCGACGCCGCGUGGGGUAUGAAGGCUUUCGGGUUGUAAACCUCUUUCGCUAUCGAACAAGGCCCGCUUAGGGUGGGUUGAGGGUAGGUGGAGAAGAAGCGCCGGCUAACUACGUGCCAGCAGCCGCGGUAAUACGUAGGGCGCGAGCGUUGUCCGGAAUUAUUGGGCGUAAAGGGCUUGUAGGCGGCUUGUUGCGCCUGCUGUGAAAACGCGGGGCUUAACUUCGCGCGUGCAGUGGGUACAGGCAGGCUUGAGUGUGGUAGGGGUGACUGGAAUUCCAGGUGUAGCGGUGGAAUGCGCAGAUAUCUGGAGGAACACCGAUGGCGAAGGCAGGUCACUGGGCCAUUACUGACGCUGAGGAGCGAAAGCAUGGGUAGCGAACAGG
RNAcentral lists this ribosomal RNA (420 nucleotides) under bacterium. Its description in RNAcentral is "partial 16S ribosomal RNA". It matches the Rfam family "Bacterial small subunit ribosomal RNA", at positions 355 to 776 of the family's 1533-position model. The record is from RNAcentral.